AUUCCAGCUCCAGUAGCGUAUAUUAAUGUUGUUGCAGUUAAAAAGCUCGUAGUUGGAUUUCUGACUUGACGCGCCUGGCCCGCCUUGCAUUUCGCGGGUGAGUGCCGGAGCGCGUCGGUCAUCCUUCUAGAGAACGGCGCUACCCUUCACUGGGUCGGCGUCGCAAUCUAGAUCUUUUACUUUGAAAAAAUUAGAGUGUUCAAGGCAGGCUCGCGCUGUGAAUACAUUAGCAUGGAAUAAUAACCUAGGACUUUGUUCCUAUUUUGUUGGUUUCUAGGAAUUAAGUAAUGAUUGAUAGGGAUAGUUGGGGGUGCUAGUAUUCAGCGGCCAGAGGUGAAAUUCUUGGAUUCGCUGAAGACUAACUUAUGCGAAAGCAUUCACCAAGGAUGUCUUCAUCA
Molecule: ribosomal RNA, 398 nt
Filed under: Imbricatea sp.
Lineage: Eukaryota; Cercozoa; Imbricatea
Description: partial small subunit ribosomal RNA
Rfam family: Eukaryotic small subunit ribosomal RNA
Source: RNAcentral